GAUGAACGCUGGCGGCGUGCCUAAUACAUGCAAGUCGAGCGAACAGAUGAGGAGCUUGCUCCUCUGACGUUAGCGGCGGACGGGUGAGUAACACGUGGAUAACCUACCUAUAAGACUGGGAUAACUUCGGGAAACCGGAGCUAAUACCGGAUAAUAUAUUGAACCGCAUGGUUCAAUAGUGAAAGACGGUUUUGCUGUCACUUAUAGAUGGAUCCGCGCCGCAUUAGCUAGUUGGUAAGGUAACGGCUUACCAAGGCAACGAUGCGUAGCCGACCUGAGAGGGUGAUCCGCCACACUGGAACUGAGACACGGUCCAGAAUCCUACGGGAGGCAGCAGUAGGGAAUCUUCCGCAAUGGGCGAAAGCCUGACGGAGCAACGCCGCGUGAGUGAUGAAGGUCUUCGGAUCGUAAAACCCUGUUAUUAGGGAAGAACAAAUGUGGAAGUAACCAUGGACGUUUUGACGGUACCUAAUCAGAAAGCCACGGCUAACUACGUG
Molecule: ribosomal RNA, 497 nt
Filed under: uncultured bacterium
Lineage: Bacteria
Description: partial 16S ribosomal RNA
Rfam family: Bacterial small subunit ribosomal RNA
Source: RNAcentral